GAUUGUACAAGUUAAUAGUUCCGUAUAUGCUUGAGGAUAUGGCUCAAGUGUCUCUACCGGGCCGCCGUAAAUGGCCUGACUACGGAAGGGAAAGUGUACCUA
Molecule: non-coding RNA, 102 nt
Filed under: Desulfotomaculum nigrificans
Lineage: Bacteria; Bacillati; Bacillota; Clostridia; Eubacteriales; Desulfotomaculaceae
Also listed under: 1 other name
Description: Guanine sequence
Rfam family: Purine riboswitch aptamer
About the family: Riboswitches are metabolite binding domains within certain messenger RNAs that serve as precision sensors for their corresponding targets. Allosteric rearrangement of mRNA structure is mediated by ligand binding, and this results in modulation of gene expression.
Source: RNAcentral